AUGUGUGUCAGAAUACUUCAGACUGCAGAAGUAAUAGAGAUGGGUAUAUUGUGCUAUAGACAUGGGAAUUCUCUCAACCCUGCUGUAGUUGCCAUGUGAGUUCAUGCAAAAUGCCCUCCCACCCCAGGAAUGACUAAAGCUCAAAAGUGGAUAUUAUUAUCUCCGUGCUCCCUAGGACACAGAGAACACUUGCUGGAGUCUGUGCUCUGAUGUGUUCGUACUUACCCAUGAAAGAGAAUCAUCACAGUUACUUGUGUCUGAGAAAUGGCUUUAUUAGUUAAAAGAAGUACUUGGAUGCAUAGUCCCUCACCAGUGCUAGAAGAAAGGAAGGAAGUGUGAGCUUAUUUUAUGAAAUCAAAUGGGAAUUUAAUAUUGUUGAUAUCACAACAUUGGUUUUAUGAAGAGCUAACCCUAAUCAGUUGAAAAAAUGAAUUCAUCUAGUAUAUAUAGAUUCUUCAGGGCACUUUACCAGUCUUUAGCAUUCUUACCCUUCCUUAUAGUCAUGUCUGUAGUUAGCGAGUUCCUUUAAAAUGGAAGAAAAAAAUUAAAAUGUGUUAUGAUGAAAAGAGCCAAGUUAAAAAGGACAAUUUCUUUACACUAAGGAAGUUGGAACUUUUAUGAUGGUAAGUGUGUGCAAGAUUGUGUAGAGUACUUCCUGCUUUUAUUCUCCCUUUAUAAUAUGGAUAAAAUCUUGCAAAACUGAGACCUCCAAAAUUUUAAAUUUAUCAUUUCAUCUAAUUCCAAUUCCUUAUCUCAUGAAUCAUUUUGAUUCUUCAACAUGGUUUUCUUUUACGAUGUUGGCUCAUCAUUUACACACAAAACAAGAUGACUUAUACAUAUACUAAAUGAGCUUUCCACACCUAACAGCUUUUCACCAUUUUACUUCAUAUUCCUUGUAGAUCUGGUACACUGUUCUAUCAGCCACUUUGACUUCAGUAAUUUAGUUAAGAUCCAUACACAUGAGUUUUCAUAUUUACUGUAAUAAUACCUAUGUAUGCUGAACACUCAGGACUGUAUAAUUUGCCUCAUUUCACUAAUCCUCCCAGCCUGCAAUUUGACACCUGGUACCAUUCUGAGCACUGGAACUCCUGCACUCAGGAUGCAGCUAGAUUUAGUAUGGGAAUUGACUUGCAAAUAGUGGGACCAUUUAGAAAAGUACUAUGACACAAAGCUUCAUGAAGGUCAAACCUGAUAACACAAGUAAAAAUACCUCAUGAGCAGUGACAUUCUAUUGAAAUGGAGCACUACUCUCUCAGGACUCUAUUACUAUCUCCAAUAACAUGCUUUAUACAAGCUUUAUAAUCAAGCUGAGUUCCCUACAAAGUCUCUGGCUUCUUGACCAGCCCAAACAUACAAACAACUGUAUCUUGUUUUUUUGUUGUUAUUGUUGUUUAUUUGUUUUGUUGUUGUUUUGUUUUGUUACUAAAUUGUAAUGUGAGCUUUAUAAUUAUUGCUGAAAAAUAAUCAUUUCCUAUUUUGGAAAAACCUCUACAAUCUUACAACCUCUUCAAAUCUUAUUUGGAACACUUGACACAAAGUUUAGAAGGUAUUAUGUCAUUAUGAUCUGUAAUUUGAUUUCUAAAUUUCAAUGCAAGUAACUGAAUCACGGAUAGAAAGAAAGCAAUUAAUUUAAGAAAGAAAUCUGUAAUGGCUCAAUAAGAUGCCGAACUCCAGCACAUAGUCAAUGGUACAUUCUGCAUUGUAAAGCACUGCCUCUUUCUGGGGACAUGGGUGCAGCAUUGGCAGUACUGGUAGCAUCAGGUAUUAUCUUAACAACCUUGGUACUGGUAGCCAGGUAUACCAGCAACAUUUGAAAAGGCCUCCUGUUGCUGUUAUACCACAGAAGGUAAGGCAAAGUGCUUCUUCUAAGAGAACUUUGUUAGAGAUUAAAGGCUUGAGAAGAAAUAAUCUGUGGUGCAGUUAUCAUAGAAAUAUGUAGCCAUUGGUAGUAAAGAAAGAAGGAAAAAACACAUCACAGGAACCGAUAGAAAGGUUGGUCGAAUGCAUUUCUCUGUCAAAUAGGUAAUAUGAACAAUAAUGGAUUUUUAUCUAAGCUACUUAAAGUCCUCAGUCUUUAGACUGCAUUAAGCUACACUUUACUUGCAAAUGUUUCCUUGAAACACUCUUUUCUCAGUAGUAACUUUUUCUGAAGGGUUGUUUGUGUUUGUGUGUUUGUCUGUCUUUUUAUGCUAAGAGGAAAACAUCAAUCAGUAGAAGGAAAUGUGUUUUCUUCCAGUAGUUUUCCCACCAAAACAAAGAACAUCACUUUCAUCCUGUCACAUUCAUUUAAACCUUAGCACCACAGCACAGCAUUUAUAUACUAGCAAAGCUACCUCUUCUUGAAUAACCUUACUUUGCUGACAUCACUUCUCUAUUCUUCAGUCUCUAAGGGACCAAUUAAUUUAGCAAAUAUCAGUUAUAUUUUAACAUCUUCCUGUAUGGAAGUGGUGCUAAAUUUGAAACACUGCCAAUAGGUGAAGCAGUGGAGAAAAUUUAAGACAAAAAGAGAUAAUGGUACCUCAAGUCAAACAAUCCAGGAAAAGAAGAUCAAAUACAUAGCAUUAAAUAACUGAGACUUUUACAGUAGAAGAAUAGAACAGAAAUAAAUUAUGGGUAUUUUUCUCCACUCAUUUAUUAGUCAAGCUUAUAGACUACAUUUAUACCUGGCAAUCAGCCUGAAGUCAUUGGUCUACAUUAGACCGUGUGUCUAUUUCUGAUAAUGAAAAGCCCAAAGCAGUUUACUGGUAAGUUAUUCAAAUAGUAGAAGAAAGGAGGAGGAAGAAAGGAGGAGGAAGUGUAGAGCUUUAAGUUAGGGAUGCCCACACAGAAUCUUUACAGCAGAGAAAACAGUCCAAAUGCUGCCUUUUGAAACUUUGACUGUUACACCUCCCCCACGUAGUUAAACAAGAUCAUUGCCUAUCUCUUCGAUAUAGGUUGUGGGCUUCUGAACUUUAGAUUCCACUUCCUUGAUGGAGAACAAUGUCUUUCACUCUCAGCACUUCAUUAUGCUCCAUCAAUGAUUGAAGGCUGAAUGCAUUUUAUCCAUUGUGGGAAGGUGGCUUUCUCUGGCUACCACUUCUGGCAGAGGUUUUCUUUUCCUGUGGAAUUUAAAGUACUUUGUUUGCUGUCCCAUAUCAAAGCCCUGAAAAUUCAACUCUUGCCUUCAUGCUUCACGAUUUCUCACUGUCUUUGCCCUUUGCAGCUUUCCAUGUCCUAUCUCCUUCUUCUAUUCAAAGUUCUAGG
This 3243-nucleotide long non-coding RNA is filed under the name Mus musculus (house mouse). RNAcentral's name for it is "long non-coding RNA chr7:88119157-88122400". The record is from RNAcentral. Lineage: Eukaryota; Metazoa; Chordata; Mammalia; Rodentia; Muridae.